AGGACAGAGAAAGGGACGGGAGGGAGGACGUGUAGGAAGGGUCAGCACACAAACAUGACACAGACGCAUAACAAACACAGGAACAAAAAUACCUAACUUGUGUGAAGCAAUAUGAAAGCUAUUAGUAGGUAAAUAAAGUUGUCAUUGGAAAAGAAUGUAGUGAUAAAUGACUAAUAAGCAGCAAUAACAUACGUAGUCAUCAAUUAGCGGUUUUUCAUAUGUGUUUUCUGUGUUGCAUGUUGCCUCUCUCGUCCAUCUUGAUUACUCAGCUCGCUCUCGUGAAAAUGAUAAUAUAAUGCUUACGACAGCAAUUAACUAGUAACAAACUGGCAACGAAUAUAUUUUCCCAUCCGCAGUUAUUUUGAAACUAACUCCACUCCCCACCACCAGAGGGCCCAUGGUAGCUGUCAUCAAUUCCCAGGUCGGACAAAUUAUCAGCAUUAUUUACACGAACGUCACUUGGUUUUUACACUCCACGGAAGCUAUAUUCAUUUAUUUUGAAGCAUAAUUUCACGCGAGUAACUUAUCCUUUCCAGUUCUCGUAAAAAAAAAAAAAAUGUGUUAUGUAGGUAGACGGCGGGACUGGGGAAUGGCUGGGAGAGGACGGUGGGGGGUGAGGCGGCAAGCGGGGUGGGGAGCAGUGCGGUGGCGGCGGGUGGCAGGAAGGUGAGCGGUGAGCGCGAGUCGGCGGAACACCCAGUGCUUAUGAUCUGCCGUUGGUAGGGUCGCGUAUCGGCGGGGUGAGGGUGCGUUUUAGUGUCUGUUUAUGUUGCGUGUGCGUGCGUGAGCGUCUGUCUACGUGUGUGUGUAUGUGUAGGUUCGUAGACGUGAGGGAGAGAGUGAGAAAUGUGUAAGAACGGCGAGGACUCAAGAUAACAGAGGGAGAGAGCGGCGUGGCGGAGGAGAGCGGGAGAGGAGGAGCGAAGCAGGGACGGACGCCAAGCUGUCUGCCCGCUACUUUGAAAUUUACCUCCACCUCCGCCUGCUCUUUCCUCUCUUUCCCUGUACUUUCUCGAUCCCUGGCUUCUCCUCCGUGCUCUCCCUGUUCUCUACUGGACCAUGAUGAGUGUGAGGCAAGGACAAUACUAACUUGAAGGACAGGACCGCACAGGGCAUUGGACGUGGAAAAUGCCGUCUUGAAGCACUCCAGUGAAUGAAAAGGAGGACUGACUGAGGACAAAGGGAUACAAACGGGCGGAGGACAACUCGGUAAGUG
This is a long non-coding RNA of Eriocheir sinensis (Chinese mitten crab), 1216 nucleotides long. RefSeq lists it as uncharacterized. Lineage: Eukaryota; Metazoa; Arthropoda; Malacostraca; Decapoda; Varunidae. The record is from RefSeq and is a predicted model, not a curated record. The transcript is spliced from 3 exons.